CCCUUAGAUGUUCUGGGCCGCACGCGCGCUACACUGAUUCAUGCAACAAGUUUUGUCCUUGGCUGAUAGGCCUGGGUAAUCUUUGAACGUGAAUCGUGAUGGGGAUAGAUGAUUGCAAUUAUUCAUCUUCAACGAGGAAUUCCUAGUAAACGCAAGUCAUCAGCUUGCAUUGAUUACGUCCCUGCCCUUUGUACACACCGCCCGUCGCACCUACCGAUUGAAUGGUCCGGUGAAAUCUCCGGACUGGCGUGAGUCGGAGCAAUCUGACAAACACCGGAAAGUUGAUUAAACCUUACCAUUUAGAGGAAGGUGAAGUCGUAACA
This 323-nucleotide ribosomal RNA is filed under the name uncultured eukaryote. Its description in RNAcentral is "partial 18S ribosomal RNA". It matches the Rfam family "Eukaryotic small subunit ribosomal RNA", at positions 1470 to 1796 of the family's 1831-position model. The record is from RNAcentral.